GGAUUCAUAAAGAACACUUGAUAAUAUUUUAUAACAACCAUAUAGGAAGCAAGGCCAUGUCGCGCAGUCCCUCCGCUUGUGAGACCGAUGUCGACAUUCCUAGAUAGACCAUCUGGUAUGAUCGAGCUAGUUAGAUAUUGUUAGUUAGAUAUCCCUCUGCUGUUCUAUGUUCAUUUGCACCCGCUACAGCGGAAGAGGUUUCUGCUCUGCUCUAGUCCUCCCGCCCCACCACCUGCUCCCCAGAUGCAAUUCCCUUGCAUCUCAUCCGUACUCCGUCUUUUUCUCUUUCUCUACCUCUCACUAAAAUUCUCAAUCUCUCUCUCUCUCCUCUGGGAUAUUUCCAUCACCCUUUAAACAUGCAACUAUAACCCCAAUUCUAAAGAAGCCCAACCUUCACCCUAACUCUUCGUCCAACUACGUCCUAUCUCGCUACUGAAUUUUGCAUCCAUAUAGUUACAUAGUUACAUAGCUGAAAAGAGACUUACGUCCAUCAAGUUCAGCCUUCCUCACAUUUGUUUUUUGCUGUUGAUCCAUCCAUCCAAGAUCCUUGAAAGAGUUGUGUAUGCAAGAUUAACAGACUUGCUCGAGUCCAACUUUCUGCUAGACCCGCUUCAGUCUGGUUUCCACGCUAAGCACUCUGAUCAAAGUAUCCAAUGAUCUACUCGCUGCAAAAUCUUGUGGUCACCACUCUAUCCUAAUUCUCCUUGACCGUUCUGCGGCUUUUGACACUGUUGAUCAUCAACAGCUUCUUCUCAUCCUCCGCAAUAUCGGUCUACGAGAUAUUGCUCUCUCCUGCUGCUCCUCCUAUCUCUCCCAGCGCUUUUUCACUGCUUCUUCUCCCCAACUCCUAUCUGUUGGUGUCCCCCAAGGUUCAGUCCUUGGUCCCCUACUGUUCUCUAUCUAUACUGCCUCCUUUGGUAAGCUCAAUAGCUUCCAAUAUCAUUUCUAUGCGGAUGACACGCAAAUCUAUCUGUCGUCUCCUAAUGUCUCUCCGUCCCUCUUGACUAGUGUCUCUGACUGCCUCUCUGCUAUUUCUAACUGGAUGGCUGCCCACUUCCUUAAACUCAACUCGACCAAAACUGAAAUUCUGGUCUUUCCUCCCUCAAGUGUUGCUACUCCUGUGUCUGUCUCCCUCCAAAGUCAACGGUGCUAACAUCAGCUCCACCACACAGACUCGCUGCCUAGGUGUUCUCUUUGACUCCUCUCCUUCACGCCUCAUGUUCAGUCUAUCGCCAAAUCCUGCCGCUUCCAUCUCAAAAACAUUGCGCACAUCCGACCCUACUUAACACCAGAUGCGACUAAGGUGCUGGUCCAUUCCACUGUCCUUUCUCGCCUUAACUACUGUAAUCCGCAUCUCAGUGGUCUUAUGUGCUCUCAACUUGCGCCGUUACAGUCCAUAAUGAAUGCGGCGACAAGGCUCAUCUUCCUGUCUGCCUGCACCGCCCAUGCCUCACCUUUCUGUCAGUCCCUACAUAGGCUUUCUGUAAGAUAUAGGGCUCAAUUUAAAAUUCUGGUUCUUGCUUUCAAAUCUCUACAUAAUGCUGCUCCCACCUAUCUAUCCUCCCUAAUACACAAGUAUGUCCUUUCUAGGCCCUUUCGCUCUCCUGAAGACUUACAUCUAUCUUCUGUCCGUAAUCCCACCUCUGAUUCUUGCCUUCAAGACUUCUCGAGGGCUUCCCUCCUCCGUUAGAUGCUCACCCAGUCUCCACUCCUUCAUAAAAUCAUUAAAAACCCACUUCUUCAUAAAAGCGUAUUAAUUAAACUGUUAAUAGCCCCCGACUGAUUCCUCUCUUUCAUCUGUCAUUAGUCUAAUACUAUCCUUACCUUUUUGUGUCACUUUACC
This 1843-nucleotide long non-coding RNA is filed under the name Pelobates cultripes (western spadefoot toad). Lineage: Eukaryota; Metazoa; Chordata; Amphibia; Anura; Pelobatidae. The record is from RNAcentral.